GACGAACGCUGGCGGCGUGCUUAACACAUGCAAGUCGAACGGAAAGGGCCUGCUUUUGUGGGGUGCCCGAGUGGCGAACGGGUGAGUAACACGUGAGUAACCUGCCCUUGACUUUGGGAUAACUUCAGGAAACUGGGGCUAAUACCGGAUAGGAGCUCCUGCAGCAUGGUGGGGGUUGGAAAUUUCAGGCGGAUGGGGAUGGACGCGCGGCUUAUCAGCUGGUUGGUGGGGUAGUGGCUUACCAAGUCUUAGACGGGUAGCCGGCAUGAGAGGGUGACCGGCCACAUUGGGACUGAGGUACGGACCAGACGGCUACGGUAGACAGCAGGGGGGAAUAUUGCACAAUGGGCGGAAGCCUGAUGAAGCAACGCCGCGUGCGGGAUGACGGCUUUCGGGUUGUAAACCGCUUUCGCCUGUGACGAAGCGUGAGUGACGGUAAUGGGUAAAGAAGCACCGGCUAACUACGUG
This 468-nucleotide ribosomal RNA is filed under the name uncultured bacterium. Its description in RNAcentral is "partial 16S ribosomal RNA". It matches the Rfam family "Bacterial small subunit ribosomal RNA", at positions 28 to 507 of the family's 1533-position model. The record is from RNAcentral.